Molecule: long non-coding RNA, 912 nt
Filed under: Lytechinus variegatus (green sea urchin)
Lineage: Eukaryota; Metazoa; Echinodermata; Echinoidea; Temnopleuroida; Toxopneustidae
Description: uncharacterized LOC121427635
Source: RNAcentral
GACGACGAUAAAUCAGCUUUGCACAAAAUGAAGAGGAGCGAAGCGCUUAAUAUCGGUAUUUGCCGAGCUUUGAGAACAUCUAAAUUUUUGAAUGGAUGAAAACAUCUUACAAGUUAACAUGCACAGGCUGUCCUGAGAGACUAUUAAAGGAGGAUUGUAAGAGAGGAAUAUGCCAACAAGAACUGCAAUGAGGAGUCGUUGACAGGAGGAAACUUUUUAAAAGAGACCACACACUACCUCAUCAACAUGCUUGAAGAUGAUCUGAGCCUGAAGAGGGACAAAGGGCCUAGUGAUAGACUACCUUUCUGCAAGUAUUGACAAUUCUGCUUUUGUAUGGUGAUAAUUUCAGGGAAUACGUGGUGAUGAGGCAUCAGUGUUGCAAUUAUCUGUUUGUGAGAGAUCAAAGAUGUUUCGCAAGCCAUAGCAAGAAAAAAGAGGUUUUGUGAGAACUUCAACAACCAGAGAUGAGAUUGAGACUACCCAACAACAACUGUGUGAGUGAUCGAUGGGACCCAAGUCUAUACAAGAAUUCCUGGAGGGAAACAAGCCUUGUACUUUCCUGAAGGGCAAGUCCACCCCAACAAAAAGUUUCUUUGAUAUAAUACAGAAAAGUCCAAUGAGCAUAACACUAAACCUUUUAAUCAAAAUUUGAUGUAAAAUGAGAAAGUGUUGACAUUUUGAAGUUUCGCUUAUUUUCACAAAACAGACAUCCUGGUCAGUAUGCAAAUGAGUGACAAAGUGACGUUCUCCACUCAGUGUUUCUUUUUGUAAUAUACUAGUAUCAUGAUUUUUUCCCCCUCAUAAUGUGUAUAAAGUACAGGUGAGAUAUGGUUUGAUUUCUCCCUGAAACUUUUGUAAAAAGCCAUUGUGGCAACCUAUACUCAAUUCGAUGAAGAGUUUUCUCAUAAUUGU